Molecule: long non-coding RNA, 5442 nt
Organism: Homo sapiens (human)
Lineage: Eukaryota; Metazoa; Chordata; Mammalia; Primates; Hominidae
Exons: 2
Source: RefSeq, a predicted model, not a curated record
AGCAACCUGCUGGGGUCCAGUUCCAGUCUGUGGGAGGUUUGUUCUUUCGCUCUUCUCAGUGACUCUUGCUGUUGCUCACUUUUUGGGGCUGCGCUAAUCUUUAUGAGCUGUAACACUCACUGCGAAGGUCUGCACUUCACUCCUGAAGACAGCGAGACCACGAAGGGAGACCACCGGGAGGGACGAACAACUCUGGAGUGCCAGCUUUAUGAACUGUAACCCUCACCGCGAAGGUCUGCAGCUUCACUCCUGAAGUCAGCGAGACCACAAACCCAGCAGUAGGAAGAAACUCCAGACACGUCUGAACAUCAGAAGGAACAAACUCUGGACACACCAUCUUUAAGAACUGUAACACUCACCACAAGUGUCCGCGGCUUCAUACUUGAAGUCAGUGAGACCAAGAACCCGCCAAUUCCGGACACAGUAGCUGGGAUUACAUGCGCCCGCCACCACACCCAGGCACUGAGAGUGGCAAGGCCAAAUGGAGAAAAAUAAUUCAGUCGACUGAGAAAAAAACCUCUUUCUAGCAAAACAAGAUCCAAGAAAAGAAAAACGUAAAGGCCUUUUAAAUAUACUUAUGACUUAUAUCCACUUAUAAUUAACCUGGGUGCUCUUUAAGAAAAUCUUUUUAACUCUCUUAUAACCUUAAUUUAGCCACGCCAGGGGGCCAAUAUUUCUGGCUUUCAAACUUCAUUAAAGGCUCAGAGAAAGGAAAAUUCAAGGCUGUUUGUGGAGGGGAAGAGAACAGAGAGCAAAGGUUGCGUAGAUACCAAACCAGAAAGGACUCAUUCCCUACACCAGGAUUGAACCCCAGGCCACCAUUGUAAAAUGGCGGAGGCCAAAACAAAACCAUUGUCACGUGGUUGCAGGCCACACUCCCAAAGAUGUGAAACAAGAUGGAGGCCUGCCACAGAGUUUGCUGCGGACUAUACAGAAAGACAUGGAAAGCACACCAGAUUGGCUACAACUCAAGACCAACCUCAUAAAUCCUUUUUCAUAAUUAAAACUUUACAGAGAAUAUAAACAGUGAUCUCUAUUAUUUUUGGCACAUCAAAAUGUCUUCCAAAAGGGAAAAAAAAACUCACUUAAAAGUCAACUGCUGACAGGGUAGGGAAAAGAAAAAAGAUGCCUGGGGAAGAACGUUUUAUUCUUUUGCAAAUGAGUUCCUCCACCAGGGAGAGUAACUUAAUUGCUGUCCGAUGGAGUGGGACCCCUUGGCUGGGGGAGGGGAAGGCUCUGUGGCUGUGUGGCAGGGAGCUGGCCAGCCUGCCUUUGGGCACCCUUGGGCCAUGCAUUCCAGCCCUGGCCAGGAGGGGAGCAGGAGAGCCACCAUUCACUGAUCUAUCCCACGUGCACCUGCAGCUGUUGUGGUGGGGUGGGGUACAGUUUUCUCUAUCCUCAGAAGAGGUAUGAGGACAAAAAGGCUUAGAAGCAAAAGAAAAAAAUGAUCUUUUGGUUUGCGUGAUACUCACCCUCCCUCACGCCCUAUGUCUGGAUGCCAAAAAUAUCAUAGAAAAAAAAAACUGCGUUCUUGUCACACGACCAGGAAAAGUUAGACACGCAGACGCUUUUAAGGGUGAGGGAGAAUGGAAUUUAUUGGGUGAAAAGGAAGAUAAACUCUCAGCAAAGUGAGAGAGGUUCCUGUUAACAGGCCCCCAUCUCACAGAUUGAGAAGGAACCACGCUCCUCCCCCUGCAAAUGGCAGGAACUUCCCAAGGCUCCACCCCAUCCACCCAGUGGGCAGGCCAGUGGAAGAUUCUCCAGGCCCCCUUAUCUUCCUUCUGUAUCUCAGGAGUUUGAGGCCAGCCUGGCCAACAUAGUGAAAUCCCGUCAUUACUAAAAAUACAAAAAUUAAUAGGGCAUGGUGGCACAUGACUGUAAUCCCAGCUACUCAGGGUGCUGAGGCAUGAGAAUAGUUUGAACCUGGGAGGUGGAGGUUGCAGUGAGCCAGUGAGCUGAGAUCAUGCCACUGCAUUCCAGCCUGGGUGACAGAGUGAGACUCUGUCUCAAAAACAAAAACAACCAACAAGACACUGCUGUACAAGUGAACUGAGAUAUCUAGUACAAAAUAAGCUUUGGGCCAGGUGCAGUGGCUCACACCUGUAAUCCCAGCACUUUGGGAAGCUGAGGCAGGUGGAUCACCAGAGAUCAGGAGUUCGAGACCAGCUUAGCCAACAGGGUGAAAACCCGUCUCUAGCAAAAAAUACAAAAAUUAGCUGGGUAUGGUGGCAUUCAUCUGUAAUCCUAGUUAGGAGGCUGAGGUGGGAGAAUCGCUUGAACUGGGGAGGUGGAGGUUGCAGUGAGCCAAGGUUGUGCCACUGUACUCAGCCUGGGUGACAAAGUGAGACCCUGUCUCAGAAAAAAAAAAGAAAAAAGCAAGCAAGCUUGUUUAUCCUAAGAAAGACUUUUUAAUAAGAGGGUUUGCCUUUGGUUAAAAGCUAUCUUAAAAAUUAGAUCUUUUAGUUUAUUUGUACAGUCAUAGGUUAGAUCUGAUACUGGUAAGACUGAUCUGGGGCUGAAGUCUCCUGUAUCUUAUGAAUAUCUUAUGAUUCUGUGAGUGAAUUCUGUGUGAAUGCUGAUAUAUGUAGAUGUCAAAAAAAGAGCCAAACUCUGUAAAACAUUUGAAGAGAUAUAUUCUGAGCCAAAUAUUAGUGGCCAUGGCCCAAGGCACAGUCUCAAGAGGUCCUGGGACAUGUGCCCACGGUGGUUGGGUUACAGCUUGGUUUUAUACCUUUUAGGAAGACAUAAGACAUUAAUCAUUGAUACAUGGUUUGGUCCAGAAUUGCAGAACAAUUUGAAGUGGAGGCUUACAGGUCAUAGGUAGAUUUAAAGAUUUUCUGAUUGGCAACUAGGCACGGUGGCUCAUGCCUGUAAUCCCAAUACUUUGGGAGGCCGAGGUGGGCAGAUCCCUUGAGACCAGGAGUUUGAGACUAGCCUGGCCAACCUGGUGAAACCUGAUCUUUACUAAAAAUACAAAAAUUAGCCCAGCAUGGCACAUGCCUGUAAUUCCAGCUACUCUGGAGACUAAGGCAUGAAAAUCACUUGAAACCUGGGAGGCAGAGGUUACAGUGGGCCAAGAUGGCACCACUGCACUCCAGCCUGGGCAACACAGCAAGACUGUCUCAAAAAAAUAACCAAAAAAACACAAACACGCAAAACCAAAAAAUUUUCUGAUUGUCAAUUGGUUGAAACAAUUAAGUUAUGAUCUGAAAGCCUGGAAUCAACAGAAAGAAGUGUCUGUGUUAAGAGAAAGGGUUGUGGAGACCAAAGUACUUAUUAUGUAGAUCAAAUGUCAGAACUGGCCACUCUUAGAGAUAAUAAGUGGCAAAUAUUUCCUAUUCAGACCUGUAAAAAGUGCUAGACUCUCAAUCUCUUCAGGAUUGGGAGGGUCUGGAAGGGAAAAUAUUUCAUUGUGUUAAUAGAUUCUUUACAGGAUGCAAAUCUCCCCCCAACAAAAGACAACUCCACAGAAUCAUUUCAAAGUAUGGCAAAGAAACAUAUUUUGUGUUAAAAUAUUUUGAUUUCCUCUUUAUCCGUCAUGUGAUGUUAUGCCAGAGUCAGGUUGGAAAGUAUUAUAUAGGGUUAAAUGCAACCCAUCUGGCAAGAUUUUAUGGUGUGUAGAGCAUGACUCCCAGGCCGCUUAGAUAGAAAUUUGGGCAAAAGGCCGGGCGCGGUGGCUCACGCCUGUAAUCCCAGCACUUUGGGAGGCUGAGGCGGGCGGAUCAUGAGGUCAGGAGAUCAAGACCAUCCUGGCUAACACAGUGAAACCCCAUCUCUACUAAAAAUACAAAAAAUUAGCCGAGCGUGGUGGCAGGCGCCUGUAGUCCCAGCUACUAGGGAGGCUGAGGCAGGAGAAUGGCGUGAACCUGGGAGGCGAAGCUUGCAGUGAGCCGAGAUCGCGCCACUGCACUCCAGCCUGGGCAACAGAGACUCUGUAUCAAAAAAAAAAGAAAAAAGAAAAAAAUUUGGGCAAAAGAGAAAAAAAGGACAGAGUUUAGUUCUCAUAGAGAUGGGACAUUUUUCUGGAAAAUGAACUUUUCUUAGCUCCAAAGUUCCCACUUAAUUCUGCCUAGGAAGAUUUGGUUUCUUUGGUUUAGAAGUACAUCCCGUUUUGGGGUAAUUACUCACUCCAUCCAAGCUUUAAACUUAAAGUUCAGAUUCUCUAUCAGUUCUGUUGUGUAUUGCCUGUCUCCUAGGACGGCAUCUGUGUACAGCAGGGUUCACGUCCUGGUGCUGUCCUCUGGGUCCUACCAGCUUUGAUCUGCAUAAACUCUUGAUCUUUGUAAGGUGAUCUCUAGUCCUUCCGCACCUGCUGCAGAUCUCCUUGGUCCCACCUAGUCUUCCAGAGGGGACAGUGCGCCUAUUGCUGAUAUCAUUUUUUCUCUGUCAGGUGUGGGACCACAAAGCCUGCACACUCUGCAGCAUUCUCUUGCCGGCCUCAGGCCUCUUCCAAUCCACCAAUCCCCUCUACAUUCCUUCGACCCUCACUAGACUUGCGGAAACACCUGCCUCUCUCCUCAUUCAGGCAGGCCAGAGAGGUACUAUUUUGAGCUUUUUUUCUCUGCAGCCUACCAACUACCAAUUCUAAGUCACUGUCCCAACCUGUCAUAAGUAUGGGGAAGCUUUUGAGAUGGUUUCCUUCCGAUAGUUCCAAACAAAAAAUAAAAAACAAGCCCUAUCAAUUCUUUAAUCUAUCAUCUGCUGCCCCAUCCCUCAUACACACACCUACACAUAUACACAAGGGCCAGGGUGGCUGAGGCACUGGGUCCCUACUCAGUCUACCAUCUGCUCCUUAGCUUCAAAUAGCUCCUGCAUCCUUGUGCAGGUCAGAAAAAGUUUCCAUGCCUUCCUUUUGUAAGAGGUGUUUGAACCAGAGCGACUCCAUCUUGAAUAGGGGCUGGGUAAAAUAAGGCUGAGACCUACUGGGCUGCAUUCUAAGUCACAAGAUGAGGGACAAGGUCAACACAAGAGUGUGUUCCCCUCACUUAUGACAGGUUGGGACAGUGACCUAGAAUUGGCAACAGGGUAGGUAAAACAGCAUGUGGUAAAGAAGUCAGCGAAAACCUACCAAGAUGAUGAACGUGACCUCUGGUCGUCUUCACUGCUCUGGUCGUCUUCACUUCGCGACCUCUGGUGGUCUUCACUGCUCAUUAUGUGCUAAUUAUAUUGCAUUAGCAUGCUAAAAAACACUCCCACCAGAGCCAUGACAGCUUGCCAAUGCCAUGGUCAACGUCAGGAAGUUACCCUAUAUGGUCUAAGGGAGAACUCUCGGUUCCGGAAAUUGCCCACCCCUUUCCCAGAAAACUCUUGAAAAAUCCACCUGUUGUUUAGCAUAUAAUCAGGAAAUAACCAUAAAAUAGACAACCGGCAGUCCUGAGGGCCUGUGGAGUAGCCAUUCCUUAUUCCUUCACUUUAUUAAUAAAUAAACUUGCUUUCACUUUA